GCCGCGUUUCGGAGGCCAAAACUGAGAUGGACUACAAGGCGGACGUGAAAAUCACCGGCCGGCUGGCGAUCCUCGGCGACAUGGUCUUGCGCGCCACAGCGACGCUGAUUCUCCAAGAAUUUACCCGCCGCCUGCACCAAGGGCUUGGCGAACGGGCCUGAUUUUAGUAUGAACAAUUUGAGUCUCGUUGGGUGCAAGAUCUCUCACUGCGUUCGAGAUGACAGAAACCGAGAUCGAGGUGACGUGCGGCGGCAUGGGGUGACAGACAAUUCCGAUGUCAUUUCGAGCGGAGCGAGAAAUCUUUCUUCAACUGGCAGUGCUGCUUGAGAAAGCAACAGGGAGUUUCGAAUGGCGGAUAAGUACGACGUGAUCGUCGUCGGCGGCGGUUCGGCGGGCUGCGUAGCGGCCGGUCGCCUGUCGGAGGAUCCGAGCCGCAAAGUCUUGUUGCUGGAAGCCGGGCCCGACCCGCAGCCCUUGCCCGAGCUUGUCGCCGACGCGUCCAAGCAGACGCGGCUCUUGCUCGAAUCGGAUUUCGUCGCGAUGUUUCCGACAGAGCGCCAUUUGGACGGCAGCACCUAUUACGCGCUCGCCGGGCGCAUCAUGGGUGGCGGCUCGUCGGUCAACGUCAUGUCGGUGCUGCGGCCGCAGCGCUAUGACUUGGACCAAUGGGUCGCCGCGGGCAAUCCCGACUGGUCUUACGAGCGUUGUUUGCCGUUCAUGAAGAAGAUUGAGUCGGAUCAGGAUUUUCCCGACAGUCCGAUUCACGGCAAGGACGGUCCGCUCUACGUCAAGCGCCACUACACUCUCGACAUGCCGGCGUCGCCGCCGGUGCGCGCGUUUCUCGAUGCGGCUUACGGCAUGGGACUCC
RNAcentral lists this unclassified non-coding RNA (868 nucleotides) under uncultured fungus. RNAcentral's name for it is "sequence contains 18S rRNA gene, ITS1, 5.8S rRNA gene, ITS2, 28S rRNA gene". The record is from RNAcentral. Lineage: Eukaryota; Fungi.